This 1655-nucleotide long non-coding RNA is filed under the name Lactuca sativa (garden lettuce). Its description in RNAcentral is "long non-coding RNA (LSAT_LNC002639)". The record is from RNAcentral. Lineage: Eukaryota; Viridiplantae; Streptophyta; Magnoliopsida; Asterales; Asteraceae.
UUGAGUAACCAGAUGGUAUACCACCAUUUAUGAAAUGGUUACUAUAAAAAGUAAUAACUUCUUUCUCUUCUUUUCUUCCUCUUAGAAUAAAUUUUGAGAUCUUUAAAGAUUUUUAAAUAAGUACUUAACAAAAAUAAAAUAAGGAAAAAUAAAUUUGUAAAAAAGUUACCUUCAUAUUAACCUCAUCUUAAAUAAGAGGGUGUCUUGUACAACAUAUGAUGAAAACGAUUUUUAUUGUGAAAUACCAUUAUAGUUUCAUCCCUAGUUGGCAACUUGGCCCUUUCCUAAAAUGGAUUCAUUGUGGCAUUUUCACAAACACCUAAUAUGCAGUAAAUAGAAUAAAAAUAAUGAAGGUUGAAAUGAUUUGGUUGUUUUUUCUAUUGAUAUAGACAAACCUAUUUCAAAUAGAUAACCUUUUCAUCACCACCUGCAACUUUUCAUAAGAAAAAGGAACAUUUAAAUACUGUAUGGAAAAACGAUCAUAAUUGCCUCAAAAGAUUACCACCACAAACUCCUCUAGCUCCUGAUAAAAAUCAUAACUACAGAAAAUCUAAGCACAAAAAUAAAUAUGAAAGAAAACAAUAUCGAAAUGUAUUUUGAAAGAUGCAAGGAAGAUUUUGAGAAAUAGGUUGAGACCUGUAUUUGGGUUUGGGUGGUGUUGUUCAUCCACCUUACACAUGUACACCAAAAGUGGUUGUGAAAAAAAAAGAAUGUAAGCUAAUGAACAACUUGAACAACUUCAAUGGAAUGAUUAUACGUGGUAUGAUUGGAAGAGAAGAAAUAAAGAAGGAAGAAUCACCUGUAAUCCAACUAACAUACAAUCACCAUGAUUGAAAAUCUUAAACACAACUUGAUUUCAGUGACAGUAAAGUAGAGUAGAAAGUAAGAUCUUACAGGUUUUCCCUUUUCUAAUUCAAUCAAAUAGUUGCUUGAAAGGGGCAUUUGCAUUCUUUACAUCUAUCAAAUCCUACCAUACCACAAGGACUCCUAGACGUUAACAACUUUCAAUCUCCAAUAUUACCCAAAAUGAACUCAUAAGCACAAAAGGAAACACAUGAAUAGAUGAAGCAUACAAUUUAGGGAAAUAGAAGCAGAGAAUACGGUUUUAGGAACCGAUGGAAAUAAGAGGAAGUGGCGACAUAUUAAUCGAUGAAGUUUAGAUAUACAAAAUUCCCUAGUGAAAAAAUAAUUAAAGCUUGACCUCUGAUAUUCAAAAGAACGAGGAUUAGAAAAGGAUGAUCUUUAUAAAUAAGAGAUUCAAAUCAAACACGAAACCAAAAGUGGCAUUUCUUCAAGGGAUAUCAAAGUACAUAGAACUUACUCAAGCCAUGGUUGUAGAGGACCUCCACCGUCAUACUCAGAACUGGUGGUCACGGUGUGUGGUGGUGGCGUUUAGGAGGUUGUGGUCAUGUGGUGGCAGUGAGUAGUGAUAGCUUUGGGGAAAAACAAUGUAAGAGCAUUUGGAAAGGAGAUAAAGAAAACGAAAACCUCCGAUGGAGAUUUCAACGACGGAAUAGUGGAGGUCGGUGGGUGAUCGAUCGAACAAAUCAGGAGGGGAAGAAUGUGAUUUUGGGGUUGUGGUUUUCAAGAGAGGAGGAAUUGUGACAUCCCUAAACUUUUUCGGUUUGUUAUUCGUAUUUUCUGUUAAUGCCUUU